UAUUAAGCCACUUGUAUUGGUCUCCGAAAAAGAAAAUGUACGUGUUUGUUUACAAGAUAUGUUGUAAGUCACAAACGCGUAUACGUCUGGGGUAAUGAAAUUAAGUAAGCAUGGGCAACAAUUCAGCGCCUAGUGAGUCUGUGUUAAUGAUCUAGCUAUCUGUUUGUUGAAACAGACAAUGAAGUAUACAGCCUUGUUUUAGUCGCUACAAUAAUGAAUUAUGCGUUUUACUGCUUUGUGGUAAUUAUUAUAACGUUUCAAUAAUAGUGAUGUAUUCAUUUCUUCAUGUGAAGUAUUUUUUCAACGUCAUACUUAAAUUUCCUAUUUAAAAUUAAAUUUUUAGAUGAGAUGACUUCAGCCACUUAAAAAAAAAUCUUUAGAUGUUUUACUAUUAAUAUAUAUUAAAUCUGUCAUCUGAUAAUGUAUUUCUUUGUCUCAUUCACAUUAAAUAAAGUUAUAUUUAAUAUCUUCCUGUAUUUUGCCGCUUAAAAACGCCUGGAAAAUAAUACUGACAAUGUGAACAAGACAGUGUUUUGUGUACCCCAUUCCGGGUCUCUAUUGUUGUGAAUGCGCACCAGCACAAAAAGGUAAAGAAUCCAGGAUACUUGUUGUAAAGUUUCGCUGUUAAAACCCAGUGUUGAAAAUCAUCUAAAAAUAGUUGCAUUUUUUGCAGAAAAAUGCUCGCCAACAAGUACGCAGGAAAAUUUUAAACAGCUAUAAUACAAUGUAUUUUAAACCCAGAUAUACAUUCUUCCAACUAGACCAAAAGUCACACUGCAAUAAUGUUUUGGAUUAUUCACCUUUUCGACAUUAUUUUAAGGGAGACAACUCUGGGUGGAUUUAGUGAGGUCGGGGGGGUACUCGAUCACCUACUGCAGUGCGUCUGCAUACAGUUCUGUGUUGAAGCAAUUAUAAUUUCCCAAUAAUUUGCAGAUAUUACUUAUAUGGAACAUCACAGUGUCAGCAUAAACUGGGAUAGUGUAUCUAAUUCUGCACGAAUCUCAAGAUUUCUACACCUGCAAUUUUAUUAACUCUUGCAAUAAAUAUUAUACAUCAUCACAGUUACAUAACUAUGUUCUUUGAAAUAAAUAAAAUAAAGAUA
Long non-coding RNA from Dreissena polymorpha, 1102 nucleotides. RefSeq lists it as uncharacterized. The record is from RefSeq and is a predicted model, not a curated record. Lineage: Eukaryota; Metazoa; Mollusca; Bivalvia; Myida; Dreissenidae. The transcript is spliced from 2 exons.